UACAGAGGGUGCGAGCGUUAAUCGGAAUUACUGGGCGUAAAGGGCGCGUAGGCGGCCAUGUAUGUGUGAUGUGAAAGCCCCGGGCUUAACCUGGGAAGAGCAUCGCAAACUGUAUGGCUGGAGUAUAUGAGAGGGCGGCGGAAUUUCCGGUGUAGCGGUGAAAUGCGUAGAGAUCGGAAGGAACGUCGAUGGCGAAGGCAGCCGCCUGGCAUAAUACUGACGCUGAGGUGCGAAAGCGUGGGGAGCGAACAGGAUUAGAUACCCUGGUAGUCCACGCUGUAAACGAUGAGGACUAGAUGUUUCUUGGGGAACCAAGGAGUAUCGAAGCUAACGCGAUAAGUCCUCCGCCUGGGAAGUACGGCCGCAAGGUUGAA
This 374-nucleotide ribosomal RNA is filed under the name uncultured bacterium. RNAcentral's name for it is "bacterial SSU rRNA". It matches the Rfam family "Bacterial small subunit ribosomal RNA", at positions 524 to 898 of the family's 1533-position model. The record is from RNAcentral.